RNAcentral lists this ribosomal RNA (253 nucleotides) under uncultured bacterium. Its description in RNAcentral is "partial 16S ribosomal RNA". It matches the Rfam family "Bacterial small subunit ribosomal RNA", at positions 524 to 776 of the family's 1533-position model. The record is from RNAcentral.
UACAGAGGUCCCGAGCGUUGUUCGGAUUCAUUGGGCGUAAAGGGUGCGUAGGCGGUCUGCUAAGUUUGGUGUGAAAUCCCGGGGCUCAACCCUGGAAUUGCAUUGAAUACUGGUGGACUAGAGUACUGGAGAGGAAGCUGGAAUUUACGGUGUAGCAGUGAAAUGCGUAGAGAUCGUAAGGAAGACCAGUGGCGAAGGCGAGUUUCUGGACAGUAACUGACGCUGAGGCACGAAGGCCAGGGGAGCAAACGGG